Molecule: transfer RNA, 64 nt
Filed under: Batracomorphus rinkihonis
Lineage: Eukaryota; Metazoa; Arthropoda; Insecta; Hemiptera; Cicadellidae
Description: tRNA-Asp
Source: RNAcentral
AAAAAUUUAGUUUAAAAUAAAAUAUUAAUUUGUCAAAUUAAAGUUAUUAAAAAAAUAAUUUUUG